GAAGGUUAGGUGUUUUGAUGAGAUUGAUGAAAAUUAUCGGAGUUUUGAGACAAUGGGUGGUGGAAAAGAGUGUGAUAUCCCUAUACCUUAAAAGACACUUACCAAUCGUUACUGUUCAUAGUUGAGUUCCACGUUUUCACACUUAACCUUUUGGAACUGGCUUGGCAAUUUCGAUGGGCCGGUAGUUACUGUUGAUGAGCCCAAAAGUUUUUUGUAUCAGUCAUUCAAUUUUUCAGACUUGAAACUCAUUUCACACGACUUUUUUCUUCAUCAUCUUGCAUAUUGUUGCAUAAACCAAAUUAUUAUACAUAUGUUUUCAUUCAUGUUUAGAAGAUCUUAAGCCGUUUGGAUCACUCGAAGAUUAAAUAUUCAUUUUAUGAAUUAUAUUUAUUUAACGAUUAAUUGAUUUAUCUAAGUUUAAUUCAUGCAUAAUUCUUUACGUAGGAAAUGAAAAGUUGGGUUUAGGAAAUAUUUUCUAAUGUAGAUGUUUCUUCCCAUGAUUUUUUUUUAUUUAAAGAAAAUUCCUAAUUUUUGUUAAGAGUUUUAGUUUAGUUCUCAAUCUAUUUGAUUGAGAUGAAGAAAGUAAGUGAAAUUAUGAAGGGGAAAUGAAAUCUUGGGAUUUAAGAAGGUUAGGUGUUUUGAUGGGAUUGAUGAAAAUUACCGGAGUUUUGAGACAAUGGGUGGUGAAAAAGAGAGUGUGAUAUUAAAAAUGGAGAAGUAGGUGUUGGAGCAAUGAAUCAAAAUGAUUUCUUUGUUAGGAAUGAGGUUUUUCAUAGUUUUGUAGUGGAUUCAUGUCUUCUUCAUGUGAAUGAUCAGAACAAAUGGGACUUUCAUUUUAAUGAUGGGAAAGAGGAAAGUAGGUUGGAUUUUGAUAAUAAUUUGCCUAGUGUGCCGAACUUUGAUAUGAAAGAUGGUGGAAUGGAAAGAAUCUAUCAAGGAUAUACACAACAACAACUUGUGAACAUUGAGAGGAGAGUGGAAAUUAUUGACAUUACGUCAAUGAGAGGAUGAUGAUGUGGAAAUAAUAGCUUAUAAAAAAGAUGAUAUCGGAAAGGGUAAGCAAAUUGAGGUUGGGAUGUUACGUGAUAGUACAGAAAAUUUGAACGUUGCUGUGGCAUACUCUUCUCAUUAUGUAGGAUUAGGUGUAUUUGUUCAAUAUGCGUGGAAGAUGCAUUUUGGAAGUACUUGAGGUUGUUUUGUAGUAUGAUUUUGGAGCAAAUGUAUACACAUUUUCUGUUUGUUAUAUAGAUGUUGAGACAACAUCUAUUUUUUAUAGCCUAAUUAUGGUAAAUCGAAAUAAACUAGAAUGCACUAUAUUACACCAUCUAGAAUCAUAAAAGUAAAGACUUAACCCCUUGUACCAUGGAAAUGUAACGCUUAAAAACAGUUCAAUUAGCAUGCUAUAGACCAAUUGAAUUUCGCACAUGAAUUCCAUGUAUGUGAAAUAUUUCCUAUUUUCGUAUGAUAAUUAUUGAGAGGUUGAGAGGGGGUGGUAUUGUCUGGUUAUUUUGAAGUAUGAGUGCUAACAGGUAAUGCCUUCUUUUUCGAGAGAUGCAUAGAGUAUAACUUGCAUGUGUGGUUAAAUCAAGUGAGGUCUGGUGCUGGUUGUGAUUAUUUAAUUUGCAUCCAAACUAAUGUUAGGAUGACAAAAAAAUACGCUCGAUAAAAUUCAAAGGGUUAGGUUGAAGAAAAUGAAAGCUAGGAGUUAGGGAUCAUUUCUGUUAAGUUUCUUUCUAUUUCCAAUCACUAGUCCUUAAUUUGUAUAUAGUGCCUUAACAUUAUUAUUUUAUACACACACACAAGAAAAAAAAGAGGAUUUAUCCAUAAUGACUCUUUUCAAUGUUCAUAUAAUUAAAAUUCAACAAAAAAAGAGAAAAUACCGAAUUACAAUUGCUUUUGCUUGUAUGGAUAUAUCAUCAAAGUUACAUCGCUAAUUUUUGUGGCAG
Molecule: long non-coding RNA, 1946 nt
Filed under: Olea europaea subsp. europaea
Lineage: Eukaryota; Viridiplantae; Streptophyta; Magnoliopsida; Lamiales; Oleaceae
Source: RNAcentral